GAAGGAGACGUUUCUCGAAGGAUUGUCCAAAAGGGGACCGUGGCGGUGGUAGAAGUCGUACCUGCCAUGAGGCAAAAAAAAACAAGAAAACAUUUUUAGUGUCCAUUUUUAACGAAGAAGAGGGCCAUGUAGCAAGGGAUUUUCCUCAAGGAGGAUGCAAUGGGUUCGUUGUUUUACCCCUAAUGUCAUGAAGCUGGUUGCACCUCGAAAGGCUGUCCGAAUCUAUUCAGUGAAUUGAUGAGAGAUGUAGAGCCGCGUAAGCAAUACAUUCCGGAAGCUGUGACAUGCGAUGAAAAGGAAUUCUUUAAGGGCAUCGUCUGUGGGAAACGCUUUAACAGUUUUGAUAAAGUCGUGCUCCAAGUUACAGGAAAAGAUGUAUCUCAAUACAUAACAUCUUUCGAAGAAGCUGCGCCAACUACUACUUCAAAACAUAAAAAAUUCUGGCUGCAUAAAACCAACACGUGUUCAGAAAGCUUCAGUUGCAGGUGGCAUACUUGGUACCGGUUUUGAACAUAUUGUUAGAACAAGGUGUUGCUGGUGCGUCUCAUGCCAUGGGGCAAAAGCCAGAAGUUGUAAUUGUCGCACCCACUCGUGAAUGGGCCAUUCAAAUUUAACGGAAGUCGUGUAAAUUAUCCUACAAUUCGGUUUUCAAGUCUGAUUAUAUAUGGAGGAACUGUCGCGAGCCAUCAAAUGUCAAAUCUUCAAGCUGGGGAAUCCGUCGUGCUUUUAUGUUUUCGGCGACAUUCCCAGAUGAAGUACAAGCGCUGGCUGCGACUUACAUGGAAGACUACGUAUUCGUCACAACAGGCAUUGUCGGUGGCACCAAUCGAGAUGUUGAACAGCUGUUUUUUCAGUGCUCGAAAAGAAAUAAGAGAGUAAGCUGAUCGAAGUUUUACAAGAUCUCGGUGAUGCCAAGACUAUCGUUUUUGACAACAGCAAAAAGACGCCGGAUUUCAUCGCUGCAUUUUUCUGCCAUAACAACUUACAAUCUACCAGCAUCCAUGGUGAUCGUCUUCUGAGUCAGCGUGAGCAAGCGACUUGUGACUUAAAAAUGGUAUUAGGAAUAUUCUCGUGGCCACUAAUGUUGCUGCCUGUAGUUUAGUUAAUGUUUUAUGGGUUCUUCGUUCGUUUUUUACGUAUUUGAUGUUUGCAUUGUUUUUCCUAUAUAUUGCCGGCGUCAACGAUGUCGUAAAUUAUGACUUACCAACUGAUAUUGACGAGUGUGUUCAUCGUGUUGGUCGAACGGGCCGCGUGGGAAAUGUCUGAAAAUCAAAUAAGGUUGUUUGACGAAGAAAGAGAUGGCCCUAACGCUGGAAAGUUUGUCUGUUUGUUAACUAAGUCCAACGGUGAUGUACCGCCUUUCAUGCAAGCGAUAGUCCCAGGCGUGCGUGGAAGGGGUUACGACUUUAGCGCCCCUUCGACCCAAGGGGGUUUUGCUAGUCGAGAUAUGCGCCGAUUCGGCGAUAAACCUGGAUUUGCUGCCUUGCCCACUGAAGUUGAAGAGAGUUGGCAUUAACUCAAUGUAAUUAACCAAAAUUCGUAUCCAAGAACAUCUUGGAAUUUGCAAUGUCUGUUUGAAAAUUUGAUUACGUG
Molecule: long non-coding RNA, 1593 nt
Organism: Daphnia carinata
Lineage: Eukaryota; Metazoa; Arthropoda; Branchiopoda; Diplostraca; Daphniidae
Exons: 8
Source: RefSeq, a predicted model, not a curated record